UGAGGUGACCAAAUGCUUAGUAGGGU
This 26-nucleotide non-coding RNA is filed under the name Homo sapiens (human). The record is from RNAcentral. Lineage: Eukaryota; Metazoa; Chordata; Mammalia; Primates; Hominidae.